RNAcentral lists this long non-coding RNA (155 nucleotides) under Mustela putorius furo (domestic ferret). RNAcentral describes it as "lncRNA (ENSMPUG00000026129.1)". Lineage: Eukaryota; Metazoa; Chordata; Mammalia; Carnivora; Mustelidae. The record is from RNAcentral.
AGGAUUUUCACAAGUGGAAGAGCUGGCCUUCACUGAUGAAUAGAUAGUGCGUCCAUAAUGACUGGAGAAAACCGCUUUUCCUCCAGCAGGUGGAGACCGUGGAGGGCAGGGCCAGACCUGUCUGAGAUCUGGGGUCAGGGACAGGAAUGAGUCAG